This 148-nucleotide ribosomal RNA is filed under the name Choanoflagellata sp. Its description in RNAcentral is "partial small subunit ribosomal RNA". It matches the Rfam family "Eukaryotic small subunit ribosomal RNA", at positions 1294 to 1463 of the family's 1831-position model. Lineage: Eukaryota; Choanoflagellata. The record is from RNAcentral.
UUAGUUGGUGGAGUGAUUUGUCUGGUUAAUUCCGUUAACGAACGAGACCUUAACCUACUAAAUAGUCACGCGAUUCUCGAAUCGUGGACGACUUCUUAGAGGGACUAUCGGCGUUUAGCCGAUGGAAGUUUGAGGCAAUAACAGGUCU